RNAcentral lists this long non-coding RNA (876 nucleotides) under Capra hircus (goat). RNAcentral's name for it is "lncRNA (ENSCHIG00010002685.1)". Lineage: Eukaryota; Metazoa; Chordata; Mammalia; Artiodactyla; Bovidae. The record is from RNAcentral.
GUCAAACUCAGGAGAAGCUUCCUUGGCCUAUUUCCCCAGGAAGAUUUCCAAGAAUUACCUCCAAGUUUUAUUUUGAAGAGAGGACAUUAUAAUCACCCAAGGAGGGAACACGGCACAGAAGUUGCAGACAGUGGAGGAACACUGAGUUCAUUCAAUGAACAAACUGAUGAGCUACUGAGGACUUUGAGCACUGAAGUAAUGACACCACCAGUGUUUCCAGUCCUUUGGAUUUUGAAUCCAUGAAACAAGUCAGGAACCUGCUGUCCUAAGUGGCAGCUUCUGGAUCAAAGUCACAGAACCCUGGCUUACACGGUUUGGCCAUUCAAAAGCAGGUUGUCCACCGGAAUGAUAUGCUUUUCUUCCUCCAAUGGGGGGGGGGGGGGUAAGAUUCCAAGGCCAGGGCACAGCGGGGAUCUCUCUGUGCUUGGAGAGUAACCACAACCCCAACUUGGCAUGGGGACAAUCUCAUUCAAACUCCCAGGACUCCCUCUGUCCUCUCCUGCAGUAUACACCUGGAAUUGAUGGAGGGGGAAGAGGAUGGAGAGACAAGCACAACUGUACCACCACCAGCAGGCUGUGGUGCAAGGGACAGGAUCAACCCACAAUGAAUGGAAGGAACCUGGGCUCAAACUAAGUCUUACACCAGGCAACCAUCCACCUGGCUCACAGCAAACACACAGCUCCUGCAGAAGCUAUGAUACAAGGAAAGCCCUCCUACCCAAACAGAAGGCCAGGUGCAUCCUGCCCUCUCUGGGAUUCCUGUGGUCAGUAGUUAGUUCCAAGGUUUCCCACUCCAUGGAGUGCUCUUUUCACAUCCAUGGGUGCCACUUCACCUCAAGCUUACCAUGGCUUACGUGGCAUCAGCUUUUAGUUUGA